RNAcentral lists this transfer RNA (85 nucleotides) under Helianthus annuus (common sunflower). Its description in RNAcentral is "tRNA HanXRQr2_Chr07g0287241". The stretch from base 9 to 82 matches the Rfam family "tRNA". From Rfam's summary of the family: Transfer RNA (tRNA) molecules are approximately 80 nucleotides in length. Their secondary structure includes four short double-helical elements and three loops (D, anti-codon, and T loops). RNAcentral also lists the same sequence under 1 other name. The record is from RNAcentral. Lineage: Eukaryota; Viridiplantae; Streptophyta; Magnoliopsida; Asterales; Asteraceae.
CUCUUCGGCGCGGGGUAGAGCAGUUUGGUAGCUCGCAAGGCUCAUAACCUUGAGGUCACGGGUUCAAAUCCUGUCUCCGCAAUAC